GCUUUUCAGGUCCUUUUCUGGAUUCAUACCAGUUGCCCUCUGCAAGCAUCUUCACCAGGGGUUCAGCCAGCCCAAAAGUCUAGGUGGUUCCUUUGUUUUUAAUCAGAGGAGUGCCUUGACUGGGAAGUCUACCUGCUUUUGUUUGUUUUUUAAUCAGGAAUCUCUUUGAAUCAGCACUUUGUAUUCUUGCCCGUCCCUUUCUUUCUGAUCUCAAAGGCAAACUGAUAGAGGAAAGGUAAAAACAGAGCGUUGUCCCCUGCCGGUGUUCCUGGCGCUAUACUGGACUGUAUGUCUUUGAAAGCUGACAUUCCAGAAGAGACCUACAGAACCGGGGACGGCUGCCUGCAUGAAAAGAGAAGCCCAGAUAGCCCAAGCUGAACCUUUUCUGGGACAGAAAUAAGGGAGUGUGGCAUAGUGUCCCAAGCCUUCUGUCCCAGCACGAAGAGGAUUGCUGUGCCUUUGAACUGGAGGUCUGCCUGAGCUACAGAGAAAAGAAAAGGCACAAAAUUUCUGUUAGCUGAAGGAAUUUUUCACAACGCUGUCAGCUUCCUGGCCACAGUGAAGUAAGUGACCAGCUUUGGCUCUACCAUGUGUUCCUGGCUCUGAAAUAUCUGCUUGCCACAGGGCCAAAACGAUGGACUACCUGACCGUGACAGAUUUAAAUCUCUGA
Molecule: long non-coding RNA, 670 nt
Organism: Grammomys surdaster
Lineage: Eukaryota; Metazoa; Chordata; Mammalia; Rodentia; Muridae
Exons: 3
Source: RefSeq, a predicted model, not a curated record